Non-coding RNA from Maylandia zebra (zebra mbuna), 1000 nucleotides. NCBI's taxonomy places the organism in Eukaryota, Metazoa, Chordata, Actinopteri, Cichliformes, Cichlidae. The record is from the annotation of a RefSeq genome assembly.
CACGCCGGCAGCACAAUGAUGAUGUCACUGACUCUACUGCUGGCCACCCUGGGGCUCCUUGUUCAGGGUUCAUCAGGACAAAUCAUCGUGACUCAGUCUCCUGGAGCUCAGUCUGUGGUUGCAGGGCAGUCUGUCUCCAUCACAUGUAGAACCAGUACAAGUGUUGGUGACUGGCUUCACUGGUACCUUCAGAAACCUGGCAAAGCUCCUAAACUCCUGAUUUAUAAAGCUACAAAUCGUCAGUCUGGAGUUUCAGAUCGUUUCAGUGGAAGUGGAUCUGGUACUGACUUCACUCUGAGCAUCAGAGGAGUCCAGGCUGAAGAUUCAGGAGUUUAUUACUGUCAGCAGGGUAGCAACUUGUUCACACAGCGAUACAGCGCCGUACAAAAACCUCCCUCAGCUUUAGAGGAACUGUCUCAACAGCUGCACUCAGACUAAAGACUAACUUCGCUGUGAAGGAAACAAACACUGUGCAGCUCAUCAGGUUAUACUAACACAUUUCAGUUUAACAAAAACUGAACUUUCUAAGUCAGUUUUGAAAAAUUCUGUUGAUGAUCAUUUUAAUAACACAAAUGCAGGCCAUUUACAAAUACUAAAACAUUAAGUAUGGAUGUUUUUUAUUGUUUACAUUGUAGACUUUUAUAUAGGAAAUUAAAGAUGUUGUUUAAUGAUGAAAGCACGUUUUAUCCACGUGCUGUUAUAAAAACAGUGACAUCUACUAUUACAGGAUCGUACCACAGAAUGACUCCUCCCACUCAUUUCUGAGCAUCGGAUAAUUCUCAUUAAAUAUUAUAAUAGUGUGUUAAAGUCAAAUGAACACCAGUACAAUCACAUGUGUGUUUCUGAACUCUGCACCACCUAUCAGCCUUAUUUAGACAGUCGCAGGUGGAUGAGGCCGUGGGGGUCUCAGUCUCUAUAACAACAAGUUAUUUUAAUGUCAUCAUUAAGAGUUGACAACAAUGUGUGAUUGAACACUGGGAACUUCUUAAAUAUUAAACAG